RNAcentral lists this ribosomal RNA (449 nucleotides) under uncultured bacterium. RNAcentral's name for it is "partial 16S ribosomal RNA". It matches the Rfam family "Bacterial small subunit ribosomal RNA", at positions 354 to 796 of the family's 1533-position model. The record is from RNAcentral.
GUCGAGAAUCUUUCACAAUGGGGGCAACCCUGAUGGAGCGACGCCGCGUGGAGGAUAAGGUCUUCGGAUUGUAAACUCCUGUCAUGCGUGAACAAGGUUGCUUGGUUAAUACCUGGGCAAAUUGAUGGUAACGCAAGAGGAAGAGACGGCUAACUCUGUGCCAGCAGCCGCGGUAAUACAGAGGUCUCAAGCGUUGUUCGGAAUCACUGGGCGUAAAGGGUGCGUAGGUGGCGUGGUAAGUCAGAUGUGAAAGCCCGGGGCUCAACCUCGGAACUGCAUCCGAUACUGCCAUGCUAGAGUACUGGAGAGGUGACUAGAAUUCUCGGUGUCGCAGUGAAAUGCGUAGAUAUCGAGAGGAAUACCAAAGGCGUAGGCAGGUCACUGGACAGUUACUGACACUGAGGCACGAAGGCCAGGGGAGCGAACGGGAUUAGAAACCCCUGUAGUCC